UACGGGGGGAGCAAGCGUUGUUCGGAUUUACUGGGCGUAAAGGGCGCGUAGGCGGUAGCACAAGUCAGUUGUGAAAUCUCCGGGCUUAACUCGGAAAGGUCAACUGAUACUGUGCGACUAGAGUGCAGAAGGGGCAACUGGAAUUCUCGGUGUAGCGGUGAAAUGCGUAGAUAUCGAGAGGAACACCUGCGGCGAAGGCGGGUCUCUGGGCCGAUACUGACGCUGAGGAGCGAAAGCGUGGGGAGCGAACAGG
RNAcentral lists this ribosomal RNA (253 nucleotides) under uncultured bacterium. RNAcentral describes it as "partial 16S ribosomal RNA". It matches the Rfam family "Bacterial small subunit ribosomal RNA", at positions 524 to 776 of the family's 1533-position model. The record is from RNAcentral.